Molecule: ribosomal RNA, 586 nt
Filed under: uncultured rumen bacterium
Lineage: Bacteria
Description: bacterial SSU rRNA
Rfam family: Bacterial small subunit ribosomal RNA
Source: RNAcentral
GGAGUACGCCGGCAACGUGAACUCAAGGAAUUGACGGGGCCCGCACAAGCGGAGGACAUGUGUUAUUCGAUGAUACGCGAGGAACCUUACCCGGGCUUGAACUGCAGCCGAACGAUAGAGAGAUCUUGAGUCCUUCGGGACGGCUGUGGAGUGCUGCAUGGUUGUCGUCAGCUCGUGCCGUGAGGUGUCGGCUUAAGUGCCAUAACGAGCGCAACCCCUUUCAUUAGUUGCCAUCAGGUUAUGCUGGGCACUCUAGUGAUACUGCCACCGUAAGGUGUGAGGAAGGUGGGGAUGACGUCAAAUCAGCACGGCCCUUACGUCCGGGGCUACACACGUGUUACAAUGGGUGGUACAGAGAGUAAACUGCCGGCAACGUCAGUUCAAUCGAUAAAGCCAUCCUCAGUUCGGAUUGGGGUCUGCAACCCGACCCCAUGAAGCUGGAUUCGCUAGUAAUCGCGCAUCAGCCAUGGCGCGGUGAAUACGUUCCCGGGCCUUGUACACACCGCCCGUCAAGCCAUGAAAGCCUGGGGCGCCUGAAGUCCGUGACCGCGAGGGUCGGCCUAGGGUGAAACAGGUGAUUGGGGCU